RNAcentral lists this ribosomal RNA (309 nucleotides) under uncultured eukaryote. RNAcentral's name for it is "partial 18S ribosomal RNA". It matches the Rfam family "Eukaryotic small subunit ribosomal RNA", at positions 1470 to 1796 of the family's 1831-position model. The record is from RNAcentral.
CCCUUAGAUGUUCUGGGCGGCCCGCGCACUACAUUGGCACUAGCAAAGAGAUCCUAGAUUGAAUUCUUUGGGGUAUUCUUCUAAAUGGUGUCGUGACUGGGAUAAACCCUUGUAAUUAUUGGUUUUGAACGAGGAAUUCCUUGUAAUCGCGGUUUAUCAGCUCGCGUUGAAUGCGUCCCUGCCCUUUGUACACACCGCCCGUCGCUCCUACCGAUGGAUCGUCCGGUGAAGCUCACGGAGUGACUGUUCACGCAACGGUUUACGAAGUGAAAUGGACCUCACGAUUUAGAGGAAGGAGAAGUCGUAACA